AGAUUGAACGCUGGCUGCAUGCCUUACACAUGCAAGUCGAACGGUAGAGUAGCAAUACUUGAGAGUGGCGAACGGGUGAGUAAUAUAUCGGAACGUGCCCAGUCGGUGGGGGAUAACGUAGAGAAAUUUACGCUAAUACCGCAUACGAUCUAUGGAUGAAAGGCGGGGGGAACCGAAAGGCCUCGCGCGAUUGGAGCGGCCGAUGUCAGAUUAGCUUAGGUUGGGUAGGGGUAAACGGCCCACCAAGGCGACGAUCUGUAGCUGGUCUGAGAGGACGACCAGCCACACUGGAACUGAGACGACGGUCCAGACUCCGUACGGGAGGCAGCAGGUGGGAAUUUUAGGACAAGUGGGCGCAAGCCUGAUCCAG
RNAcentral lists this ribosomal RNA (370 nucleotides) under uncultured soil bacterium. RNAcentral describes it as "bacterial SSU rRNA". It matches the Rfam family "Bacterial small subunit ribosomal RNA", at positions 26 to 391 of the family's 1533-position model. The record is from RNAcentral.